Molecule: ribosomal RNA, 154 nt
Filed under: uncultured Sneathia sp.
Lineage: Bacteria; Fusobacteriati; Fusobacteriota; Fusobacteriia; Fusobacteriales; Leptotrichiaceae
Description: partial 16S ribosomal RNA
Rfam family: Bacterial small subunit ribosomal RNA
Source: RNAcentral
GGCGAUUGCGAUGGAGCACUCUGAGCGCAAUUCUGUGUGUGUGAAGAAGGUUUUAGGACUGUAAAACACUUUUAGUAGGGAAGAAAGAAAUGACGGUACCUACACAAUAAGCGACGGCUAAAUACGUGCCAGCACCCGCGGUAAUACAAUUCCA